This 281-nucleotide long non-coding RNA is filed under the name Bos taurus (domestic cattle). RNAcentral's name for it is "long non-coding RNA NONBTAT014168". Lineage: Eukaryota; Metazoa; Chordata; Mammalia; Artiodactyla; Bovidae. The record is from RNAcentral.
AAACUAAAUUUGGAAUUACUUGUUUUCUAGCUUUAAAUGCCUGCUUUAUUUCUUCUUCAAGAUAUGCCUAAAAUGUUUUCUAUUUAAAAAUUACAAAAAUGAACCCAAGCCUGUUUUAAGAUAUUUGUGUAAUACAUUAAAAGUGUACUAAUAACUUAUGGUUGUUAAAUAAUUUAAAAGUUAGAAAACUAAACUGUUACAUGAAUCAUGGUUAGUAGACACUAAUGUAUAACAUGUUAAUGGAAAAAAAUGGAUUUAGAAUAAUAAAUGGAUUUUAAACU